CAAUAGUAAUUCAACCUAGUACGAGAGGAACCCUUGAUUCACACAAUUGGCCAUCGCACUUGGUUUAAACGCCAAUGGCGCGAAGCUACCGUGUGCUCCAUUAUGACUGAACGCCUCAAAGUCAUAAUCUGGGCUAGAAGUGACGCUUGCGCCAGCCGUCCGCUUGCCGGCCCGCAGUAGGGGCCUAUGGCCCCCAAGGGAACGUGUCGUUGGCUAAGUCACCGCAAUGGAGCGUCGCAGUGACCACCUUGAAGUACAAUUUCCAUUGAGUGGCGGGUAAAAUCCUUUGUAGAGGACUUAAAUAUUCGACGGGGUAUUGUAAGUGGCAGAGUGACCUUGCUACCACGAUGCACUGAGAUUCAGCCCUUUGUCGUUCCGAUUCGU
This 384-nucleotide non-coding RNA is filed under the name Solanum lycopersicum (tomato). RNAcentral describes it as "Eukaryotic large subunit ribosomal RNA". It matches the Rfam family "Eukaryotic large subunit ribosomal RNA", at positions 3014 to 3401 of the family's 3401-position model. The record is from Rfam by way of RNAcentral. Lineage: Eukaryota; Viridiplantae; Streptophyta; Magnoliopsida; Solanales; Solanaceae.